GAUGAAGAACGUAGCGAAAUGCGAUAAGUAAUGUGAAUUGCAGAAUUCAGUGAAUCAUCGAAUCUUUGAACGCACCUUGCGCCCUUUGGCUAUUCUGAAGGGCAUGCCUGUUUGAGUAUCAUGAACACCUCAACUCUCAUGGUUUGCCAUGAUGAGCUUGGACUUUGGGGGUCUUGCUGGCCUACGGUCAGCUCCUCUCAAAUGAAUCAGCUUGCCAGUGUUUGGUAGAGUCGCAGGUGUGAUAACUAUCUACGCUUGUGGUUUUCUGCCAGAUAACCUUCAGUGAUGGAGGUUCGCUGGAGCUUAUAAAUGUCUCUCCCCAGUGAGGACAGCUUUUUGAACGUUUGAUCUCAAAUCAGGUAGGACUACCCGCUGAACUUAAGCAUAUCAAUAAGCGGAGGA
Molecule: unclassified non-coding RNA, 402 nt
Filed under: soil metagenome
Description: partial contains 5.8S ribosomal RNA, internal transcribed spacer 2, and large subunit ribosomal RNA
Rfam family: 5.8S ribosomal RNA (bases 1-121)
Source: RNAcentral